RNAcentral lists this unclassified non-coding RNA (574 nucleotides) under Hevea brasiliensis (rubber tree). Lineage: Eukaryota; Viridiplantae; Streptophyta; Magnoliopsida; Malpighiales; Euphorbiaceae. The record is from RNAcentral.
GUAGCAUCUGCAGCAGACAAAUUCUACCACUUGAUUAAAAGUUGAGACACCUGAAGAUAACCCCUCAAGGCCAUCCUAUGUCAGCAUCUUUUCUAAUGUUUACAGCUAUAUGAUAGGUUUCGAAGAAGUAUUUUCUCACCAGAAUGCGUAAGGGUUCAAACAUCCACACAUGAUUCAAUUUCAUUAAGGCUAAAAUAAUGACCAGGACACCCAUACUUGGGUUUCCAAGAAAGCAAGUUCCCCAGGAAGGCUCAACCAAAAGCAUAAAAUUGUCUAACAGUUCUUGUGUCUAGCCCAAAGAACUCUCUGCUCUACUACCGCUGGAUUAUUUGUGUUGUUGACAUGCUUUUUUCCUGCUCCGAUUGGUGCUUCAAUCUUUCCUUUAUUUUUCCUUUAAUUAGAAUAGGAUGAGAAGGGGCAGAAAGAUCAAUCUGCAUGUUUGCUAAUGUAUUUUAAGCAACUUAAUUAUAAAAUCAAAUCCAAGAAUCUCUGUGUGCCAUGCCAGACAGAGGUGCAAUUCUGCAAAUAAAUGACAUAUACAUUAAUUGUGGAGAGGCAUCAUAUGUUGUGAAUA